AAACCAACCGGGAUUGCCCCAGUAACGGCGAGCGAAGCGGCAAAAGUCCAAAUUUGAAAUCUGGCGUCCUACGGGCGUCCGAGUUGUAAUUUGAAGAUGGUAACUUUGGGUUUGGCUCUUUCAUAAAGUUUUCUGAACAGGACGUCAUAGAGGGUGAGAAUCCCGUUCAUGGUAAGAUGCCCAUUCCUUUGUAAAGUGCCUUCGAAGAGUCGAGUUGUUUGGGAAUGCAGCUCUAAGUGGGUGGUAAAUUCCAUGUAAGAGUAAAUAUUGGCGAGAGACCGAUAGCGAACAAGUACAGUGAUGGAAAGAUGAAAAGAACUUUGAAAAGAGAGUGAAAAAGUACGUGAAAUUGUUGAAAGGGAAGGGCUUGAAGUCAGACUUUGUAUUCAGUGAUCAACUGUCUUUCGGGACUGUGCACUCGCUGUUUACUGGGCCAACAUCGGUUUUGGCGGCGAGAUAAAUGCAUUGGAACGUGGCUCUAUCUUCGGAUGGAGUGUUAUAGCCUUUGUAAAUAUCGCCUGCUGGGACCGAGGACUGCGCAUCUGCUAGGAUGUUGGCGUAAUGACUUUAAGCCAC
Molecule: ribosomal RNA, 576 nt
Filed under: Apiotrichum mycotoxinovorans
Lineage: Eukaryota; Fungi; Basidiomycota; Tremellomycetes; Trichosporonales; Trichosporonaceae
Description: eukaryotic LSU rRNA
Rfam family: Eukaryotic large subunit ribosomal RNA
Source: RNAcentral